UUAGCGCGGGCCUACGGGCGAAUUAUACCCGCUGAAAUAUUUCUCGCGGAUUUUUAUCAAUCGAAAAUGUAUUUCGUGUACAAAAGUGUCGAAAAUAUUAGAUUGAAUCACGGGUGAUCGUUUUAUAUCGUAUAUCUAUUAAUCAGCGCGACUGCAAUUACAUUCAUAAACGCGACCUAACCUGCCCGAACAUUACACAAGGCACAUUUCUAAUGUAAAAUAUGACUGCCUAAAGCGAAGGAGCAAGGUUGAUCAAAAACCGAAAGGAAUAAGAGAUAUGGGUAAAUCUUCGGAAAAUCCUCCUAUAUGAAAUAAAGGGUAAGAAUACCCAAUUUCUAUGUAUUUUUGCCUCCUGGACACAAUCGACGCAUGGUAAUAAAAAUUGGCGGUCGGACAUAUUUUGGGCGUCAUCUUGAAAAAACAUGUGGAAAAAAACGAUUUUUCUCGCUUCGCAUUCCUUCCUUCCUACCUAUUUACCUACCUAAACUAAGGGUUACAAACCGCCUCCACACAUACACUUUCCAUGCGAAGCAAGGUUCCACACGGGUUUACAACUUUAUUUUAUUUUAUAUAAAACGCUCUAACAUGUAUACGGUUGGAGUUACGUGAAUGAAGGUUAUGACCUUUUUUGUAGAAAAUUUAAUUUCCUACGUUUUUUGUUUAAAAACUUUUUUCGUAAAGUGAAUAGUUUCAGAGAUAAUCGUAAAAAACCGUUUUUUCCACAUAUUUUUUCAAGAUGGCGCCCAAAAUAUGUCCGCCCGUCAAUUUUUAUUAUCAUAUUCAUGUUCAGGAGGCAAAAAUAUAUAGAAUAUAUAGAAUAUAUGAAAUAUAUAGAAUAUAUAGAAAUUGGGUAUUCUUACCCUUUAUUUCAUAUAGGAGGGUUUUCCGAAAAUUUACCGAGAUAUGCACCGGCGACGCAUCGACUGGGAUGCACGAGAUGGGCCAGGAACAUCGCGGAACACGGACCUGUUUGUCGGUUUAUUGCGAACGGUGCAGGCAGCACACGUAAUAGGCACGCCGAACGUAUACCGGAUGGAUCGCCCCGUGUUCCAAGUAUUACAAGAGCGAUCUCCUGCGUGUCAAGACUGUCGAUGCGGAAAGCGGCCGUGCGCGGGACGCGCGCUCGUCUCCGUUCCUCCCAUCCGUGUAUGCCCACCACCUUCGCAGGAACGCCGUGUACCAGGGUGUGGCGCCAGAACCCGGAGAACGACCUUAGGCGCGACCUCGCCUGGGACUGACCAAAGCCGCACGCCAAUCACGCUUACAAUUUGAGAAUUCAGACGAGCACACUCGUGCACGCGAAAUCUAUCGAAGGGCUGCAUUCUGCCUGUUGCUAAUUUUUAAUCAAUCCAUUAUAAGUUGUGCAAUACACAAUGUAUAUUAUUUAUUAUAUUAUUUAUUUUUUACAAUUGCGUACUUUUUAAAAAGAAAAUAUAGAUUUUAAAUAUGAUUAUAGACCGAUUAGUCGAACCGAUUAGGAUCAAGCAGUUGUAUCAUAUAAGUUUGCUCAUCGUUCUUUCGAAGUAUUAUCCAUCACAGUUGAAAUAUCAGGAUUGAAAAUAGCUAAAUCGUUUCUAUCAUUCGAUGGGCUAAACGCUGCCGCGCUGUAGGCACGUAGUUUGCCAUCAGAUAGGUUUCGAUCACACGGGCAAUCGAUCUCGAGCUCGCAUGGUGGAUAGACGAGUUUACAUAGCUAUAGUACAGCCAAUGUGUCCUAUAAGUGUAUCGUCGAGUACGUAACAGGAAGUAGCACGACACGAAUAUUAAUGAACGCGCGCGCAACGAAAACGUUUACUGCUCGUUCUUCGCACUGCACGCGCGCCUUCAUGUUUUGCAACACGUGCGACACACGCGCGCGCGUGUUGCACUCUUGAUGUUUCGCACAGUUUUAACCUCGAGUAACUCAUAAAAUAAACGCAAAAAAUAUACAUAAUGUUUUACCUUGCUAUUCCAAAGUCGCAUAGUUCAAAAGUUUUAAGAAAAAAAAAAUAGUCAUAAAAAAAAUUUCGUAUUUGAGGAAAAAUAAUUAUUUUGUAACAAUAUAUUUUCUAAAAAUAUAUAUAUUUUGCUAUAUCUUUUGUAUCUUUAACGUAUCUUUUAAAGUGUACUAUUUUAACGUGUAAAGUAAAAUUUUUUAUAUGUAAAAGUAAACAUUGACACAAAUAAUUUGCAA
This is a long non-coding RNA of Linepithema humile (Argentine ant), 2173 nucleotides long. RefSeq lists it as uncharacterized. The record is from RefSeq and is a predicted model, not a curated record. NCBI's taxonomy places the organism in Eukaryota, Metazoa, Arthropoda, Insecta, Hymenoptera, Formicidae.